GAUGAACGCUGGCGGCGUGCCUAAUACAUGCAAGUCGAGCGAACAGACGAGGAGCUUGCUCCUCUGACGUUAGCGGCGGACGGGUGAGUAACACGUGGAUAACCUACCUAUAAGACUGGGAUAACUUCGGGAAACCGGAGCUAAUACCGGAUAAUAUAUUGAACCGCAUGGUUCAAUAGUGAAAGACGGUUUUGCUGUCACUUAUAGAUGGAUCCGCGCCGCAUUAGCUAGUUGGUAAGGUAACGGCUUACCAAGGCAACGAUGCGUAGCCGACCUGCGAGGGUGAUCGGCCACACUGGAACUGGGACACGGUCCAGACUCCUACGGGAGGCAGCAGUAGGGAAUCUUCCGCAAUGGGCGAAAGCCUGACGGAGCAACGCCGCGUGAGUGAUGAAGGUCUUCGGAUCGUAAAACUCUGUUAUUAGGGAAGAACAAAUGUGUAAGUAACUAUGCACGUCUUGACGGUACCUAAUCAGAAAGCCACGGCUAACUACGUG
Molecule: ribosomal RNA, 497 nt
Filed under: uncultured bacterium
Lineage: Bacteria
Description: partial 16S ribosomal RNA
Rfam family: Bacterial small subunit ribosomal RNA
Source: RNAcentral